AGAGUAGGGAUAACGCGUUAAGUGCCUGUAUACGGAACGUUGAUAUAGGACGAAGAGGAAUCGCGGUGUUAUCUCGCGUUCGCUG
RNAcentral lists this non-coding RNA (85 nucleotides) under human gut metagenome. RNAcentral's name for it is "THF riboswitch". It matches the Rfam family "THF (Tetrahydrofolate) riboswitch aptamer". From Rfam's summary of the family: THF riboswitch presents a pseudoknot that joins P1-P2 and the loop of P3 and two THF binding. RNAcentral also lists the same sequence under 1 other name. The record is from RNAcentral.